UACGAAGGGGGCGAGCGUUGUUCGGAUUUACUGGGCGUAAAGGGCGCGCAGGCGGUUCUGUUUGUCGAGUGUGAAAGCCCCGGGCUCAACCUGGGAACUGCGCUCGAAACGGCGGAACUAGAGUUCGGGAGAGGAGAGUGGAAUUCCCAGUGUAGAGGUGAAAUUCGUAGAUAUUGGGAAGAACACCGGUGGCGAAGGCGGCUCUCUGGACCGAUACUGACGCUGAGGCGCGAAAGCGUGGGGAGCGAACAGG
This 253-nucleotide ribosomal RNA is filed under the name uncultured bacterium. Its description in RNAcentral is "partial 16S ribosomal RNA". It matches the Rfam family "Bacterial small subunit ribosomal RNA", at positions 524 to 776 of the family's 1533-position model. The record is from RNAcentral.